GAAUUUUUGAUUAACGCCCACUUAGUGGGCCACGUGGAAG
Molecule: regulatory RNA element, 40 nt
Organism: Rahnella aquatilis
Lineage: Bacteria; Pseudomonadati; Pseudomonadota; Gammaproteobacteria; Enterobacterales; Yersiniaceae
Rfam family: nuoG RNA
Source: Rfam